GAUGAACGCUGGCGGCGUGCCUAAUACAUGCAAGUCGAGCGAAUGGAUUAAGAGCUUGCUCUUAUGAAGUUAGCGGCGGACGGGUGAGUAACACGUGGGUAACCUGCCCAUAAGACUGGGAUAACGCCGGGAAACCGGGGCUAAUACCGGAUAACAUUUUGAACCGCAUGGUGCGAAAUUGAAAGGCGGCUUCGGCUGUCACUUAUGGAUGGACCCGCGUCGCAUUAGCUAGUUGGUGAGGUAACGGCUCACCAAGGCAACGAUGCGUAGCCGACCUGAGAGGGUGAUCGGCCACACUGGGACUGAGACACGGCCCAGACUCCUACGGGAGGCAGCAGUAGGGAAUCUUCCGCAAUGGACGAAAGUCUGACGGAGCAACGCCGCGUGAGUGAUGAAGGCUUUCGGGUCGUAAAACUCUGUUGUUAGGGAAGAACAAGUGCUAGUUGAAUAAGCUGGCACCUUGACGGUACCUAACCAGAAAGCCACGGCUAACUACGUGCCAGCAGCCGCAGUAA
Molecule: ribosomal RNA, 515 nt
Filed under: uncultured bacterium
Lineage: Bacteria
Description: partial 16S ribosomal RNA
Rfam family: Bacterial small subunit ribosomal RNA
Source: RNAcentral